This 253-nucleotide ribosomal RNA is filed under the name uncultured bacterium. RNAcentral's name for it is "partial 16S ribosomal RNA". It matches the Rfam family "Bacterial small subunit ribosomal RNA", at positions 524 to 776 of the family's 1533-position model. The record is from RNAcentral.
UACGUAGGUGGCAAGCGUUGUCCGGAUUUACUGGGCGUAAAGAGCGCGCAGGCGGUCGUUCAAGUCGCGUGUGAAAGCCCCCGGCUCAACUGGGGAGGGUCACGCGAUACUGAUCGACUGGAAGGCAUGAGAGGGUAGUGGAAUUCCCGGUGUAGUGGUGAAAUGCGUAGAUAUCGGGAGGAACACCAGUGGCGAAGGCGACUACCUGGCCUGUUCUUGACGCUGAGGCGCGAAAGCUAGGGGAGCAAACGGG